Molecule: ribosomal RNA, 497 nt
Filed under: uncultured bacterium
Lineage: Bacteria
Description: partial 16S ribosomal RNA
Rfam family: Bacterial small subunit ribosomal RNA
Source: RNAcentral
GAUGAACGCUGGCGGCGUGCCUAAUACAUGCAAGUCGAGCGAACAGACGAGGAGCUUGCUCCUCUGACGUUAGCGGCGGACGGGUGAGUAACACGUGUAUAACCUACCUAUAAGACUGGGAUAACUUCGGGAAACCGGAUCUAAUACCGGAUAAUAUAUUGAACCGCAUGGUUCAAUAGUGAAAGUCGGUUUUUGUGUCACUUAUAGAUGGAUCCGCGCCGCAUUAGCUAGUUGGUAAGGUAACGGCUUACCAAGGCAACGAUGCGUAGCCGACCUGAGAGAGUGAUCGGCGACACUGGAACUGGAACACGGACCAGGCUCCUGCGGUAGGCAGCAGUAGGGAAUGUGACGCAGUGGGCGAAAGCCUGACGGAGUGACGCCACGUGAGUGACGAAGGUCUUCGGUGCGGAAAGCUCUGUUAUUAGGGAAGAACAAAUGUCUAAGUAACUGUGCACGGCUUGACGGUACCGAGUCAAGAAGCACCGGCUAACUACGUG